CCGUGCUAGAUGGGGUGUUAGCGGUACCUUGUAGCCUGCAAUCCGCUAUAGCAGGGUUGAAUCCCUUUAUGAGGAAUAACUCCGGUCGGGCCUGCCCUGAGCAAGUGAUGUUGAGAAUUUGGUCCUGCGCAAUGAAAAGCUGUGAACUCCGUCAGGUCUGGAAGGAAGCAGCGGUAAACGGAUUUUUUCAUGUGCCGCAGACAAUCCGGGUUUGAGUCAACUACUUGGGUUACGCCGGUUAGAGUAUUUCGAAUUCAGGUGCACGG
This 266-nucleotide signal recognition particle RNA is filed under the name Eubacteriales bacterium. Its description in RNAcentral is "signal recognition particle sRNA large type". It matches the Rfam family "Bacterial large signal recognition particle RNA". From Rfam's summary of the family: The signal recognition particle (SRP) is a universally conserved ribonucleoprotein involved in the co-translational targeting of proteins to membranes. The record is from RNAcentral. Lineage: Bacteria; Bacillati; Bacillota; Clostridia; Eubacteriales.